GGCCAAAAAACGGGUGGGCUAUAGCCUUGGUGGGGGACGUGGGCGAAGUUCGUCCGCCGGACUCGGAAUGGCCCCAGACUUUGCGGGCGGCCUCCGUGUGCCAAAAAUAGGCCACGGGCACAGCCGCGCCCAAAAAACAGCCCCCGAAGUCCGGGGUCCCAAGACCCCCCAGCGGAAAAAUGGCCAAAAAACGGGUGGGCUAUAGCCUUGGUGGGGGGCGUGGGCGAAGUUCGUCCGCGGGACUCGGAAUGGCACCAGACUUGGCGGGCGGCCUCCGUGUGCCAAAAAUAGGCCACGGGCACAGCCGCGCCCAAAAAACAGCCCCCGAAGGUCGGGGCGCCAAGACCCCCCAGCGGAAAAAUGGCCAAAAAACGGGUGGGCUAUAGCCUUGGUGGGGGGCGUCGGCGAAGUUCGUCCGCCGGACUCGGAAUGGCCCCAGACUUUGCGGGCGGCCUCCGUGUGCCAAAAAUAGGCCACGGGCACACCCGCGCCCAAAAAUCAGCCCCCGAAGGUCGGGGCGCCAAGACCCCCCAGCGGAAAAAUGGCCAAAAAACGGGAGGGCUAUAGCCUUGGUGGGGGGCGUGGGCGAAGUUCGUCCGCCGGACUCGGAAUGGCCCCAGACUUUGCGGGCGGCCUCCGUGUGCCAAAAAUAGGCCACGGGCACACCCGCGCCCAAAAUUCAGCCCCCGAAGGUCGGGGGCCAAGAGCCCCCAGCGGAAAAAUGGCCAAAAAACGGGUGGGCUAUAGCCUUGGUGGGGGACGUGGGCGAAGUUCGUCCGCCGGACUCGGAAUGGCCCCAGACUUUGCGGGCGGCCUCCGUGUGCCAAAAAUAGGCCACGGACACAGCCGCGUCCAAAAAUCAGCCCCCGAAGGUCGGGGUGCCAAGACCCCCCAGCGGAAAAAUGGCCAAAAAACGGGUGGGCUAUAGCCUUGGUGGGGGGCGUGGGCGAAGUUCGUCCGCCGGACUCGGAAUGGCCCGAGACUUUGCGGGCGGCCUCCAUGUGCCAAAAAUAGGCCACGGGCACAGCCGCGCCCAAAAAUCAGCCCCCGAAGGUCGGGGCGCCAAGACCCCCCAGCGGAAAAAUGGCCAAAAAACGGGUGGGCUAUAGCCUUGGUGGGGGGCGUGGGCGAAGUUCGUCCGCCGGACUCGGAAUGGCCCCAGACUUUGCGGGCGGCCUCCGUGUGCCAAAAAUAGGCCACGGGCACACCCGCGCCCAAAAAUCAGCCCCCAAAGGUCGGGGCGCCAAGACCCCCCAGCGGAAAAAUGGCCAAAAAACGGGUGGGCUAUAGCCUUGGUGGGGGGCGUGGGCGAAGUUCGUCCGCCGGACUCGGAAUGGCCCCAGACUUUGCGGGCGGCCUCCGUGUGCCAAAAAUAGGCCACGGACACACCCGCGCCCAAAAUUAAGCCCCCGAAGGUCGGGGCGCCAAGACCUCACAGCGGAAAAAUGGCCAAAAAACGGGUGGGCUAUAGCCUUGGUGGGGGGCGUGGGCGAAGUUCGUCCGCCGGACUCGGAAUGGCCCCAGACUUUGCGGGCGGCCUCCGUGUGCCAAAAAUAGGCCACGGGCACACCCGCGCCCAAAAAUCAGCCCCCGAAGGUCGGGGCGCCAAGACCCCCCAGCGGAAAAAUGGCCAAAAAACGGGUGGGCUAUAGCCUUGGUGGGGGGCGUGGGCGAAGUUCGUCCGCCGGACUCGGAAUGGCCCCAGACUUUGCGGGCUGCCUCCGUGUGUCAAAAAUAGGCCACGGGCACACCCGCGCCCAAAAUUCAGCCCCCGAAGGUCGGGGCGCCAAGACCCCCCAGCGGAAAAAUGGCCAAAAAACGGGUGGGCUAUAGCCUUGGUGGGGGGCGUGGGCGAAGUUCGUCCGCCGGACUCGGAAUGGCCCCAGACUUUGCGGGCUGCCUCCGUGUGCCAAAAAUAGGCCACGGGCACACCCGCGCCCAAAAUUCAGCCCCCGAAGGUCGGGGCGCCAAGACCCCCCAGCGGAAAAAUGGCCAAAAAUCGGGUGGGCUAUAGCCUUGGUGGGGGGCGUGGGCGAAGUUCGUCCGCCGGACUCGGAAUGGCCCCAGACUUUGCGGGCGGCCUCCGUGUGCCAAAAAUAGGCCACGGGCACACCCGCGCCCAAAAAUCAGCCCCCGAAGGUCGGGGCGCCAAGACCCCCCAGCGGAAAAAUGGCCAAAAAACGGGUGGGCUAUAGCCUUGGUGGGGGGCGUGGGCGAAGUUCGUCCGCCGGACUCGGAAUGGCCCCAGACUUUGCGGGCGGCCUCCGUGUGCCAAAAAUAGGCCACGGGCACACCCGCGCCCAAAAUUCAGCCCCCGAAGGUCGGGGCGCCAAGACCCCCCAGCGGAAAAAUGGCCAAAAAACGGGUGGGCUAUAGCCUUGGUGGGGGGCGUGGGCGAAGCUCGUCCGCCGGACUCGGAAUGGCCCCAGACUUUGCGGGCGGCCUCCGUGUGCCAAAAAUAGGCCACGGGCACACCCGCGCCCAAAAAUCAGCCCCCGAAGGUCGGGGCGCCAAGACCCCCCAGCGGAAAAAUGGCCAAAAAACGGGUGGGCUAUAGCCUUGGUGGGGGGCGUGGGCGAAGUUCGUCCGCCGGACUCGGAAUGGCCCCAGACUUUGCGGGCGGCCUCCGUGUGCCAAAAAUAGGUCACGGGCACACCCGCGCCCAAAAUUCAGCCCCCGAAGGUCGGGGCGCCAAGACCCCCCAGCGGAAAAAUGGCCAAAAAACGGGUGGGCUAUAGCCUUGGUGGGGGGCGUGGGCGAAGUUCGUCCGCCGGACUCGGAAUGGCCCCAGACUUUGCGGGCGGCCUCCGUGUGCCAAAAAUAGGCCACGGGCACACCCGCGCCCAAAAAUCAGCCCCCGAAGGUCGGGGCGCCAAGACCCCCCAGCGGAAAAAUGGCCAAAAAACGGGUGGGCUAUAGCCUUGGUGGGGGGCGUGGGCGAAGUUCGUCCGCCGGACUCGGAAUGGCCCCACACUUUGCCGGCGGCCUCCGUGUGCCAAAAAUAGGCCACGGGCACACCCGCGCCCAAAAAUCAGCCCCCGAAGGUCGGGGCGCCAAGACCCCCCAGCGGAAAAACGGCCAAAAAACGGGUGGGCUAUAGCCUUGGUGGGGGGCGUGGGCGAAGUUCGUCCGCCGGACUCGGAAUGGCCCCAGACUUUGCGAGCGGCCUCCGUGUGCCAAAAAUAGGCCACGGACACAGCCGCGUCCAAAAAUCAGCCCCCGAAGGUCGGGGUGCCAAGACCCCCCAGCGGAAAAAUGGCCAAAAAACGGGUGGGCUAUAGCCUUGGUGGGGGGGGUGGGCGAAGUUCGUCCGCCGGACUCGGAAUGGCCCCAGACUUUGCGGGCGGCCUCCAUGUGCCAAAAAUAGGCCACGGGCACAGCCGCGCCCAAAAAUCAGCCCCCGAAGGUCGGGGCGCCAAGACCCCCCAGCGGAAAAAUGGCCAAAAAACGGGUGGGCUAUAGCCUUGGUGGGGGGCGUGGGCGAAGUUCGUCCGCCGGACUCGGAAUGGCCCCAGACUUUGCGGGCGGCCUCCGUGUGCCAAAAAUAGGCCACGGGCACACCCGCGCCCAAAAAUCAGCCCCCAAAGGUCGGGGCGCCAAGACCCCCCAGCGGAAAAAUGGCCAAAAAACGGGUGGGCUAUUGCCUUGGUGGGGGGCGUGGGCGAAGUUCGUCCGCCGGACUCGGAAUGGCCCCAGACUUUGCGGGCGGCCUCCGUGUGCAAAAAAUAGGCCACGGGCACACCCGCGCCCAAAAUUAAGCCCCCGAAGGUCGGGGCGCCAAGACCCCACAGCGGAAAAAUGGCCAAAAAACGGGUGGGCUAUAGCCUUGGUGGGGGGCGUGGGCGAAGUUCGUCCGCCGGACUCGGAAUGGCCCCAGACUUUGCGGGCGGCCUCCGUGUGCCAAAAAUAGGCCACGGGCACACCCGCGCCCAAAAUUCAGCCCCCGAAGGUCGGGGCGCCAAGACCCCCCAGCGGAAAAAUGGCCAAAAAACGGGUGGGCUAUACCCUUGGUGGGGGGCGUGGGUGAAGUUCGUCCGCCGGACUCGGAAUGGCCCCAGACUUUGCGGGCGGCCUCCGUGUGCCAAAAAUAGGCCACAGGCACACCCGCGCCCAAAAAUCAGCCCCCGAAGGUCAGGGCGCCAAGACCACCCAGCGGAAAAAUGGCCAAAAAACGGGUGGGCUAUAGCCUUGGUGGGGGGCGUGGGCGAAGUUCGUCCGCCGGACUCGGAAUGGCCCCAGACUUUGCGGACGGCCUCCGUGUGCCAAAAAUAGGCCACGGGCACACCCGCGCCCAAAAUUCAGCCCCCGAAGGUCGGGGCGCCAAGACCCCCCAGCGGAAAAAUGCCAAAAAACGGGUGGGCUAUACCCUUGGUGGGGGGCGUGGGUGAAGUUCGUCAUAAGGACUCGGAAUGGCCCCAGACUUUGCGGGCGGCCUCCGUGUGCCAAAAAUAGGCCACGGGCACACCCGCGCCCAAAAUUCAGCCCCCGAAGGUCGGGGCGCCAAGACCCCCCAGCGGAAAAAUGGCCAAAAAACGGGUGGGCUAUACCCUUGGUGGGGGGCGUGGGUGAAGUUCGUCCGCCGGACUCGGAAUGGCCCCAGACUUUGCGGGCGGCCUCCGUGUGCCAAAAAUAGGCCACAGGCACACCCGCGCCCAAAAAUCAGCCCCCGAAGGUCAGGGCGCCAAGACCACCCAGCGGAAAAAUGGCCAAAAAACGGGUGGGCUAUAGCCUUGGUGGGGGGCGUGGGCGAAGUUCGUCCGCCGGACUCGGAAUGGCCCCAGACUUUGCGGACGGCCUCCGUGUGCCAAAAAUAGGCCACGGGCACACCCGCGCCCAAAAUUCAGCCCCCGAAGGUCGGGGCGCCAAGACCCCCCAGCGGAAAAAUGGCCAAAAAACGGGUGGGCUAUAGCGUUGGUGGGGGGCGUGGGCGAAGUUCGUCCGCCGGACUCGGAAUGGCCCCAGACUUUGCGGGCGGCCUCCGUGUGCCAAAAAUAGGCCCCGGGCACACCCGCACCCAAAAAUCAGCCCCCGAAGGUCGGGGCGCCAAGACCCCCCAGCGGAAAAAUGGCCAAAAAACGGGUGGGCUAUAGC
RNAcentral lists this long non-coding RNA (5091 nucleotides) under Citrus x clementina. RNAcentral describes it as "Citrus clementina (C. clementina) long non-coding RNA (CCLE_LNC001683)". Lineage: Eukaryota; Viridiplantae; Streptophyta; Magnoliopsida; Sapindales; Rutaceae. The record is from RNAcentral.